This 500-nucleotide ribosomal RNA is filed under the name uncultured bacterium. RNAcentral's name for it is "partial 16S ribosomal RNA". It matches the Rfam family "Bacterial small subunit ribosomal RNA", at positions 30 to 523 of the family's 1533-position model. The record is from RNAcentral.
AUUGAACGCUGGCGGAAUGCUUUACACAUGCAAGUCGAACGGCAGCACGGACUUCGGUCUGGUGGCGAGUGGCGAACGGGUGAGUAAUGUAUCGGAACGUGCCCAGUCGUGGGGGAUAACGUAGUGAAAAUUACGCUAAUACCGCAUACGAUCUAUGGAUGAAAGCGGGGGAUCGCAAGACCUCGCGCGAUUGGAGCGGCCGAUAUCAGAUUAGGUAGUUGGGGGGGUAAAGGCCCACCAAGCCAACGAUCUGUAGCUGGUCUGAGAGGACGACCAGCCACACUGGAACUGAGACACGGUCCAGACUCCUACGGGAGGCAGCAGUGGGGAAUUUUGGACAAUGGGCGAAAGCCUGAUCCAGCCAUUCCGCGUGCAGGAUGAAGGCCCUCGGGUUGUAAACUGCUUUUGUACAGAACGAAAAGGUUUCUACUAAUACUAGGGGCUCAUGACGGUACUGUAAGAAUAAGCACCGGCUAACUACGUGCCAGCCGCCGCAGUAA